Molecule: ribosomal RNA, 433 nt
Filed under: uncultured bacterium
Lineage: Bacteria
Description: partial 16S ribosomal RNA
Rfam family: Bacterial small subunit ribosomal RNA
Source: RNAcentral
AACGAACGCUGGCGGCAUGCCUAACACAUGCAAGUCGAACGAGACCUUCGGGUCUAGUGGCGCACGGGUGCGUAACGCGUGGGAACCUGCCCUUAGGUUCGGAAUAACUCCCCGAAAGGGGUGCUAAUACCGGAUAAUGUCUUCGGACCAAAGAUUUAUCGCCUUUGGAUGGGCCCGCGUUGGAUUAGCUAGUUGGUAGGGUAAAAGCCUACCAAGGCGACGAUCCAUAGCUGGUCUGAGAGGAUGAGCAGCCACACUGGGACUGAGACACGGCCCAGACUCCUACGGGAGGCAGCAGUGGGGAAUAUUGGACAAUGGGCGAAAGCCUGAUCCAGCAAUGCCGCGUGAGUGAUGAAGGCCUUAGGGUUGUAAAGCUCGUUUACCCGGGAUGAUAAUGACAGUACCGGGAGAAUAAGCUCCGGCUAACUCCGUG